CCACACAAAAUAGGGUUUUCGUUCGCAAUGAAACCCUAUAAAUGUAUAGCUUUCUGCAUAAACGCUCGAAAGAAAAUAAGGGCAGAUUAGUAGAAAGAGACACAAGAGCGAGAGAUGGAUAGUGUGAUCGGAGACACCAACAUGGUGACGGAGAUACUCACAAGACUGCCCAUUAGAUCCCUGAUGCGAUGCAAUUGUGUAUGCAAACGCUGGCGCAACUUAGCACGAGACCCUCAAUUCAUUCAAAGCCACCUCACUCGAUCGGUGAUAAAUUCUACUACCUGGAACACAGCAACGGUACCAACGAUUACACUUGUACAAAGGUUGCUCGGAUAAUCCGUAAUUCUGAUGACACCUAUAGGUCCCGUAAAAGAUCCAAGGACACCAACGACGUUAAGAUUCUAUGCUUUCAAAAAAAUGGGGAACUUUUGAUGUUGGAUAAUAAUAAUAAUAUGGAUCAUGUUUUGAUGUCUUAUAAUCCCCAAACCAUGGCAUUGAGGAAGCUUAGCUUUGAUACUGGGCUAGCACAUUGGUCACUCAUGCGGGGAGUCUUGUUUCACUUCCCGGCACGGAGAAGAUGAACUAGUGUCACACGUUUAAACCAGUUUUAGCUAGUGCUUUUAUAGUUAUUGACAUUGAUCUGCUGUUUUACUUUUGGGGCUUUGUCAAUGGGCUUUAAGUCUAGUUGUUCAAUGUUAUUUAUGAAAUUUUAGUGGCAUUACAUGAAUUGGUGUAAUAUUUUAAGAUUAAUUUCUUUUCUAUUCAAUCCA
Molecule: long non-coding RNA, 770 nt
Organism: Cornus florida
Lineage: Eukaryota; Viridiplantae; Streptophyta; Magnoliopsida; Cornales; Cornaceae
Exons: 2
Source: RefSeq, a predicted model, not a curated record